UAGGGAAUAUUGCAAAAUGGGCGAAAGCCCGAUGCAGCAACGCCGCGUGGGCGAUGAAGGCCUUCGGGUCGUAAAGCCCUUUUUGAGGGGAUGAGGAAGGACAGUACCCUCAGAAUAAGCCUCGGCUAACUACGUGCCAGCAGCCGCGGUAAAACGUAGGAGGCGAGCGUUAUCCGGAUUUCCUGGGCGUAACGCGCGUGCAGGCGGAUUGGAGAGUUGGAUGUGAAAGCUCCCGGCUUAACUGGGAGAGGUCGUUCAAUACUUCCAGUCUUGAGUUCAGUAGAGGGAAGUGGAAUUCCGGUUGUAGUGGUGAAGUGCGUAGAUAUCCGGAGGAAGACCAGUGGCGAAAGCGGCUUCCUGGACUGUAACUGACGCUCAGACGCGAAAGCUAGGGUAGCAAACG
Molecule: ribosomal RNA, 403 nt
Filed under: uncultured bacterium
Lineage: Bacteria
Description: bacterial SSU rRNA
Rfam family: Bacterial small subunit ribosomal RNA
Source: RNAcentral